RNAcentral lists this ribosomal RNA (1369 nucleotides) under uncultured bacterium. Its description in RNAcentral is "bacterial SSU rRNA". It matches the Rfam family "Bacterial small subunit ribosomal RNA", at positions 28 to 1381 of the family's 1533-position model. The record is from RNAcentral.
GACGAACGCUGGCGGCGUGCCUAAUACAUGCAAGUAGAACGCUGAAGAGAGGAGCUUGCUCUUCUUGGAUGAGUUGCGAACGGGUGAGUAACGCGUAGGUAACCUGCCUGGUAGCGGGGGAUAACUAUUGGAAACGAUAGCUAAUACCGCAUAAAAUUGAUUAUUGCAUGAUAAUUAAUUGAAAGAUGCAAUUGCAUCACUACCAGAUGGACCUGCGUUGUAUUAGCUAGUUGGUGAGGUAACGGCUCACCAAGGCGACGAUACAUAGCCGACCUGAGAGGGUGAUCGGCCACACUGGGACUGAGACACGGCCCAGACUCCUACGAGAGGCAGCAGUAGGGAAUCUUCGGCAAUGGGGGGAACCCUGACCGAGCAACGCCGCGUGAGUGAAGAAGGUUUUCGGAUCGUAAAGCUCUGUUGUAAGAGAAGAACGGGUGUGAGAGUGGAAAGUUCACACUGUGACGGUAUCUUACCAGAAAGGGACGGCUAACUACGUGCCAGCAGCCGCGGUAAUACGUAGGUCCCGAGCGUUGUCCGGAUUUAUUGGGCGUAAAGCGAGCGCAGGCGGUUAGAUAAGUCUGAAGUUAAAGGCUGUGGCUUAACCAUAGUAUGCUUUGGAAACUGUUUAACUUGAGUGCAGAAGGGGAGAGUGGAAUUCCAUGUGUAGCGGUGAAAUGCGUAGAUAUAUGGAGGAACACCGGUGGCGAAAGCGGCUCUCUGGUCUGUAACUGACGCUGAGGCUCGAAAGCGUGGGGAGCAAACAGGAUUAGAUACCCUGGUAGUCCACGCCGUAAACGAUGAGUGCUAGGUGUUAGGCCCUUUCCGGGGCUUAGUGCCGCAGCUAACGCAUUAAGCACUCCGCCUGGGGAGUACGACCGCAAGGUUGAAACUCAAAGGAAUUGACGGGGGCCCGCACAAGCGGUGGAGCAAGUGGUUUAAUUCGAAGCAACGCGAAGAACCUUACCAGGUCUUGACAUCCCUCUGACCGCUCUAGAGAUAGAGUUUUCCUUCGGGACAGAGGUGACAGGUGGUGCAUGGUUGUCGUCAGCUCGUGUCGUGAGAUGUUGGGUUAAGUCCCGCAACGAGCGCAACCCCUAUUGUUAGUUGCCAUCAUUCAGUUGGGCACUCUAGCGAGACUGCCGGUAAUAAACCGGAGGAAGGUGGGGAUGACGUCAAAUCAUCAUGCCCCUUAUGACCUGGGCUACACACGUGCUACAAUGGCUGGUACAACGAGUCGCAAGCCGGUGACGGCAAGCUAAUCUCUGAAAGCCAGUCUCAGUUCGGAUUGUAGGCUGCAACUCGCCUACAUGAAGUCGGAAUCGCUAGUAAUCGCGGAUCAGCACGCCGCGGUGAAUACGUUCCCGGGCCU